AGUAACACGUGGGUAACCUGCCCAUAAGACUGGGAUAACUCCGGGAAACCGGGGCUAAUACCGGAUAACAUUUUGAAACUGCAUGGUUCGAAAUUGAAAGGCGGCUUCGGCUGUCACUUAUGGAUGGACCCGCGUCGCAUUAGCUAGUUGGUGAGGUAACGGCUCACCAAGGCAACGAUGCGUAGCCGACCUGAGAGGGUGAUCGGCCACACUGGGACUGAGACACGGCCCAGACUCCUACGGGAGGCAGCAGUAGGGAAUCUUCCGCAAUGGACGAAAGUCUGACGGAGCAACGCCGCGUCGAGUGAUGAAGGCUUUCGGGUCGCUAAGAACUCUGUUGUUAGGGAAGAACAAGUGCUAGUUGAAUAAGCUGGCACCUUGACGGUACCUAACCAGAAAGCCACGGCUAACUACGUGCCAGCAGCCGCGGUAAUACGUAGGUGGCAAGCGUUAUUCCCGGAAUUACUUGGGCGUAAAGCGCGCGCAGGUGGUUUCUUAAGUCUGAUGUGAAAGCCCACGGCAUCAACCCGUGGAGGAAGUCAUUGGAAACUGGGAGACUUGAGUGCAGAAGAGGAAAGUGGAAUUCCACUCGCCUUGUAGACGGUGAAAUGCGUAGAGAUAUGGAGGAACAACCUUCAGUGGCGAAGGCGACUUUCCUGGUCUUGUAACUGACACUGAGGCGCGAAAGCGUGGGGAGCAAACAGGAUUUAGAUACCCCUG
This 720-nucleotide ribosomal RNA is filed under the name Bacillus cereus. Its description in RNAcentral is "bacterial SSU rRNA". It matches the Rfam family "Bacterial small subunit ribosomal RNA", at positions 109 to 789 of the family's 1533-position model. Lineage: Bacteria; Bacillati; Bacillota; Bacilli; Caryophanales; Bacillaceae. The record is from RNAcentral.